GCAACCUAGAUACUGUACGGAGACGAGAGAUACGGGCCGGACUGGUGGGACGGGGGAUAUCGAGUAACACGGCUGCUAACGUGGCGCAGGCAGCAAACACAGGAGGAGGCCAGUCGUGAUGCAGAUGGAGUGGUGUAAUCAAUUUGGCUCAAGCGUCGCCUUCCACAAGACAGAAGAGGAGGAAGAGGGGGAAAGCAAUGUAUGUUUUGGGGAGAAGCGAGGCAGAAGAUUGAACAGAGCAAACUACACUUCCUGGCAUAUAGUUUGUUUACUUUUGAUUCCCAUUUCUCAAGCGAGCAAGCUUUUGAAGACAGAUGCUUCCCCCUCCUGGCAGCUCCCAAGAAAGCCAAAAAGUCCCCGGUUUCGCCUCACUGCCACCUUUUCACUACAUUUGCACUGCAGGCGACCUGUGUGCAUGUGCGGAACAUAUAUUUAUUUACACUCCAAUACACCUUGAAACCUGGGAAGUGUGUGUACUCGCCAUUGGAUAAAAAAGUAGUUAAUAAUAUUUUUGGGACGCAGGAUGAUAGUUCUUGCUGUCAUUUAAACUUCAAUAUAGCAUGAAAAACAAAAACAAAGGUCAAUCUAGGAAAUAAUAUCAGAUCAAAGAUUAUUCCUGUCAUGCCUUCCUACGGUGUUAAUACUGAGCAGUAACAACAAUGCUGAUUAACUGCUAAACUUAAAGGUGCAAGUCACAACAAGAAUACAGCUAGUUAUAAAAUACAUGCAUAAGAACCAUUUUAUUAUUUAUCAAUGCAGUUUUUACAAACUGGUCAUUAUGGCCUAACUAAAAAGCAAAUUGUCUUUGGCCACAAGAACCUGGAACUAAAAGGUUAACAAUAGCUUGAGCGUAUUUUGACUGCAAAUGUUACU
Long non-coding RNA from Phycodurus eques (leafy seadragon), 873 nucleotides. RefSeq lists it as uncharacterized. The transcript has 3 exons. The record is from RefSeq and is a predicted model, not a curated record. NCBI's taxonomy places the organism in Eukaryota, Metazoa, Chordata, Actinopteri, Syngnathiformes, Syngnathidae.